UACCAAAAACACAGGUUUGUGCUAAAUCGAAAGAUGACGUAUACGAGCUGACGCCUGCCCGGUGCUGGAAGGUUAAAAGGAGAUGUGCAAGCAUUGAAUUGAAGCCCCAGUGAACGGCGGCCGUAACUAUAACGGUCCUAAGGUAGCGAAAUUCCUUGUCAGGUAAGUUCUGACCCGCAUGAAAGGCGUAAUGAUCUGGGCACUGUCUCAACAGCCCGCCCGGCGAAAUUGUAGUACCGGUGAAGAUGCCGGUUACCCGCGACAAGACGGAAAGACCCCAUGGAGCUUUACUGUAGCCUGAUAUUGGGUUUCGGUGUUGCAUGCACAGGAUAGAUGGGACACUGGGAAGCGGAUGCUUUGGCGUUCGUGGAGUGGACGUUGGGAUACCAUCCUUGCGACAUUGGAAUUCUAACCUGCGCCUCUGAAUCGAGGCGGGGGACAUUGUCAGGUGGGCAGUUUGACUGGGGCGGUCGCCUCCUAAAAAGUAGCGGAGGCGUUCAAAGGUUCGUUCGAUCUGGACGGAAACCAGAUGAUUGAGUGCAAACGCAUAAACGAGCCUGACUGCGAGACUGACGGGUCGAGCAGAGACGAAAGUCGGAGUUAGUGAUCCGGUGGUAUGUGAGUGGAAAUGCCAUCGCUCAACGGAUAAAAGUUACCCUGGGGAUAACAGGCUGAUCUCCCCCAAGAGUCCACAUCGACGGGGAGGUUUGGCACCUCGAUGUCGGCUCAUCGCAUCCUGGGGCUGAAUUCGGUCCCAAGGGUUUGGCUGUUCGCCAAUUAAAGCGGUACGCGAGCUGGGUUCAGAACGUCGUGAGACAGUUCGGUCCCUAUCUGUCGUGGGCGCAGGAUAUUUGAAAGGCGCUGUCCCUAGUACGAGAGGACCGGGAUGGACGAACCUCUGGUGCACCAGUUGUCACGCCAGUGGCACAGCUGGGCAGCUAUGUUCGGAUCGGAUAAACGCUGAAAGCAUCUAAGCGUGAAGCCGGCCUUAAGAUAAGAUAUCCCACUGAGUCAAUCAGGUAAGACCCCUUGAAGACUACAAGGUUGAUAGGCACACAGUGUAAGCGGAGUGAUCCGUUCAGCUAGCGUGUACUAAUAGGUCGAGGGCUUGACCC
This 1115-nucleotide ribosomal RNA is filed under the name human gut metagenome. Its description in RNAcentral is "bacterial LSU rRNA". It matches the Rfam family "Bacterial large subunit ribosomal RNA", at positions 1805 to 2925 of the family's 2925-position model. The record is from RNAcentral.